RNAcentral lists this non-coding RNA (111 nucleotides) under Rothia aeria. RNAcentral describes it as "S-adenosyl methionine (SAM) riboswitch". It matches the Rfam family "SAM (S-adenosyl methionine) riboswitch aptamer". Rfam says of the family: SAM-IV is a mRNA element that regulates gene expression via direct sensing of S-adenosylmethionine (SAM or AdoMet). SAM-IV riboswitches share conserved nucleotide positions with the previously described SAM-I riboswitches sequence analysis and molecular recognition experiments suggest that SAM-I and SAM-IV riboswitches share similar ligand binding sites, but have different scaffolds. Lineage: Bacteria; Bacillati; Actinomycetota; Actinomycetes; Micrococcales; Micrococcaceae. The record is from RNAcentral.
GGUCAUGAGAGCCAGUGAUAAGCCCCAGCUAGCUGGUCGGCAACCCUCCUCCGCGGUGGGGUGCCCUGGGUGAGGACCAGGCGUUACACACAAGUGCAGCGCAAGCGCGGG